UACGUAGGGGGCAAGCGUUGUUCGGAAUUACUGGGCGUAAAGGGCGCGUAGGCGGCUUGGUCAGUCCCGUGUGAAAUCCCUCGGCUCAACUGAGGAACUGCACGGGAAACUGCCUGGCUUGAGUUCGGGAGAGGGAAGCGGAAUUCCGGGUGUAGCGGUGAAAUGCGCAGAUAUCAGGAGGAACACCAAUGGCGAAGGCAGCUCGCUGGGACGUGACUGACGCUGAGACGCGAAAGCGUGGGGAGCAAACAGG
This 253-nucleotide ribosomal RNA is filed under the name uncultured bacterium. RNAcentral describes it as "partial 16S ribosomal RNA". It matches the Rfam family "Bacterial small subunit ribosomal RNA", at positions 524 to 776 of the family's 1533-position model. The record is from RNAcentral.